Molecule: ribosomal RNA, 301 nt
Filed under: uncultured bacterium
Lineage: Bacteria
Description: partial 16S ribosomal RNA
Rfam family: Bacterial small subunit ribosomal RNA
Source: RNAcentral
CAGCAGCCGCGGGAAUACAGAGGGUGCGAGCGUUAAUCGGAUUUACUGGGCGUAAAGGGCGCGUAGGCGGUUUAGUGAGUGUGAUGUGAAAGCCCCGGGCUUAACCUGGGAAGUGCAUCGCAAACGACUAAACUGGAGUAUAAGAGAGGGUGGCGGAAUUUCCGGUGUAGCGGUGAAAUGCGUAGAGAUCGGAAGGAACGUCAAUGGCGAAGGCAGCCACCUGGCUUAAUACUGACGCUGAGGCGCGAAAGCGUGGGGAUCAAACAGGAUUAGAUACCCGCGUAGUCCCUGUCUCUUAUAU